RNAcentral lists this ribosomal RNA (460 nucleotides) under uncultured bacterium. Its description in RNAcentral is "partial 16S ribosomal RNA". It matches the Rfam family "Bacterial small subunit ribosomal RNA", at positions 338 to 795 of the family's 1533-position model. The record is from RNAcentral.
CCUACGGGAGGCAGCAGUGAGGAAUAUUGGACAAUGGACGAGAGUCUGAACCAGCCAAGUAGCGUGAAGGAUGACUGCUCUAUGGGUUGUAAACUUCUUUUAUAUGGGAAUAAAAUGUUCCACGUGUGGGAUUAUGUAUGUACCAUAUGAAUAAGGAUCGGCUAACACCGUGCCAGCAGCCGCAGUAAUACGGAGGAUCCGAGCGUUAUCCGGAUUUAUUGGGUUUAAAGGGAGCGUAGAUGGAUUGUUAAGUCAGUUGUGAAAGUUUGCGGCUCAACCGUAAAAUUGCAGUUGAAACUGGCAGUCUUGAGUACAGUAGAGGUAGGCGGAAUUCGUGGUGUAGCGGUGAAAUGCUUAGAUAUCACGAAGAACUCCGAUGGCGAAGGCAGUUCACUGGACUGCAACUGACACUGAGGCUCGAAAGUGUGGGUAUCAAACAGGAUUAGAUACCCGGGUAGUC